Molecule: ribosomal RNA, 492 nt
Filed under: uncultured bacterium
Lineage: Bacteria
Description: partial 16S ribosomal RNA
Rfam family: Bacterial small subunit ribosomal RNA
Source: RNAcentral
AGUGAACGCUGGCGGUAGGCCUAACACAUGCAAGUCGAACGGCAGCACAGUAAGAGCUUGCUCUUACGGGUGGCGAGUGGCGGACGGGUGAGGAAUACAUCGGAAUCUACUUUUUCGUGGGGGAUAACGUAGGGAAACUUACGCUAAUACCGCAUACGACCUACGGGGGAAAGCAGGGGAUCUUCGGACCUUGCGCGAUUGAAUGAGCCGAUGUCGGAUUAGCUAGUUGGCGGGGUAAAGGCCCACCAAGGCGACGAUCCGUAGCUGGUCUGAGAGGAUGAUCAGCCACACUGCAACUGAGCCACGGUCCAGACUCCUACGGGAGGCAGCAGUGGGGAAUAUUGGACAAUGGGCGCAAGCCUGAUCCAGCCAUACCGCGUGGGUGAAGAAGGCCUUCGGGUUUUAAAGCCCUUUUGUUGGGAAAGAAGAGCAGCAGGUUAAUCCCCCGCUGUUCUGACGGUACCCAAAGAAUAAGCACCGGCUAACUUCGUG